GCUUAACACAUGCAAGUCGAGCGCACCCUUCGGGGUGAGCGGCAGACGGGUGAGUAACGCGUGGGAACGUGCCCUUUGGUUCGGAAUAGCCCUUGGAAACGAGGAGUAAUGCCGAAUGUGCCCUUCGGGGGAAAGAUUUAUCGCCAAAGGAUCGGCCCGCGUUAGAUUAGCUUGUUGGUGAGGUAACGGCUCACCAAGGCGACGAUCUAUAGCUGGUCUGAGAGGAUGAUCA
This 232-nucleotide ribosomal RNA is filed under the name Ostreococcus mediterraneus. Its description in RNAcentral is "partial Bacterial small subunit ribosomal RNA". It matches the Rfam family "Bacterial small subunit ribosomal RNA", at positions 46 to 306 of the family's 1533-position model. The record is from RNAcentral. Lineage: Eukaryota; Viridiplantae; Chlorophyta; Mamiellophyceae; Mamiellales; Bathycoccaceae.